RNAcentral lists this ribosomal RNA (281 nucleotides) under Blastocystis sp. Its description in RNAcentral is "partial small subunit ribosomal RNA". It matches the Rfam family "Eukaryotic small subunit ribosomal RNA", at positions 69 to 358 of the family's 1831-position model. The record is from RNAcentral. Lineage: Eukaryota; Bigyra; Opalinata; Blastocystidae.
AAAAACCCCACCCCGAAACUGCGAACGGCUCUCAUAUAGUCACAGCCCACCAGAAACACUCCACCACUCGGAUAACCGAAGCAAUCCCAGGGCCAAUACACGAACAAAACCUCAACCACGGAAGAGGAGUGACUAUUAGCAUGAAAACCAUAUAUCUCCGGAUAUAAUAGCGAGCAAUAAUAACCUCCCAUAUCGUAUGCCGUAAGAUAACGAUAGCCCUCCCAAGCCCCUGCCCUAUCAGCCCCCGAUGGUAGUAUAUGGGACUACCAUGGCAGUAACGG